This 450-nucleotide ribosomal RNA is filed under the name uncultured bacterium. RNAcentral's name for it is "bacterial SSU rRNA". It matches the Rfam family "Bacterial small subunit ribosomal RNA", at positions 354 to 796 of the family's 1533-position model. The record is from RNAcentral.
GUGGGGAAUUUUGGACAAUGGGGGCAACCCUGAUCCAGCCAUGCCGCGUGAGUGAAGAAGGCCUUCGGGUUGUAAAGCUCUUUCGGCCGGGAAGAAAUCGUCUGGGUGAAUAAUCCGGAUGGAUGACGGUACCGGAAGAAGAAGCACCGGCUAACUACGUGCCAGCAGCCGCGGUAAUACGUAGGGUGCGAGCGUUAAUCGGAAUUACUGGGCGUAAAGCGUGCGCAGGCGGCUUUGUAAGACAGCUGUGAAAGCCCCGGGCUUAACCUGGGAACGGCGGUUGUGACUGCAAGGCUAGAGUUCGGCAGAGGGGGGUGGAAUUCCUGGUGUAGCAGUGAAAUGCGUAGAGAUCAGGAGGAACACCGAUGGCGAAGGCAGCCCCCUGGGCCGCGACUGACGCUCAGGCACGAAAGCGUGGGGAGCAAACAGGAUUAGAUACCCGGGUAGUCC